This 375-nucleotide ribosomal RNA is filed under the name uncultured bacterium. RNAcentral describes it as "bacterial SSU rRNA". It matches the Rfam family "Bacterial small subunit ribosomal RNA", at positions 523 to 898 of the family's 1533-position model. The record is from RNAcentral.
AUACGUAGGUGGCAAGCGUUGUCCGGAUUUACUGGGCGUAAAGGAUGCGUAGGCGGAUAUUUAAGUGAGAUGUGAAAUCCCUAAGCUUAACUUGGGAGCUGCAUUUCAAACUGGAUGUCUAGAGUGCAGGAGAGGAGAUUGGAAUUCCUAGUGUAGCGGUGAAAUGCGUAGAGAUUAGGAAGAACACCAGUGGCGAAGGCGAUUCUCUGGACUGUAACUGACGCUGAGGCAUGAAAGCGAGGGUAGCAAACAGGAUUAGAUACCCUGGUAGUCCACGCCGUAAACGAUGAGUACUAGGUGUAGAAGGGUCCAACCUUCUGUGCCGCAGUUAACACAAUAAGUACUCCGCCUGGGAAGUACGAUCGCAAGAUUAAA